Molecule: long non-coding RNA, 486 nt
Filed under: Pan troglodytes (chimpanzee)
Lineage: Eukaryota; Metazoa; Chordata; Mammalia; Primates; Hominidae
Description: lincRNA
Source: RNAcentral
AGGCAGAGGAAACUGCUUGGGGUAAAGAAAACAAAAAACGCAAAACCCAGCAUGGUGCGUACUGGAGAUGAGAAAAUGGAGGUACCAAAAAGUGGGCUCUGAACUGUGGAGCCUGGCUCCAGAGCCCUUGUAUUUGACUACUGGGAUCCACCGUUAUUCUCACAGCCGCGUUUCCCACAGGGCUGCUUUGUAUGGCCUCUUAGAAAAGUCCUGCCUGUCUCCACCAUCCAGACUAUGAUGUCCGUGAGGUCAGAGGAAAGGGAGAAUGUCUCACAUACAGAAAAUGCUUGAUCAACAUUGAUGGAAUCAUAAAUGGGCCUCAGCGGCACCUGUCCUGAGUCAGCAUCUCACAGAGGUUUUGCCAGCACCAGCCACAUCUCCAGCAUGAAGGUGAUUGUCUGAGUGUGUCCAGUCCAGUUCCUGCCUUAAUAAAAAUCACUGCUGCAAGGGAGAGGGCUGCCAAGGCCCUGCCUCCCUCCAACCCCA